UAAUAUGAGAAUGUGAACUCUUUAGGUAUUCCAUUCAAUUCUUCCUAAGCUGUAAUGUUUUACAUCACAGGAGAACAGUAAAAAGGUCAAUCUAUUGAUGCAGAAUUCAUUUAUUUAUUACUGCAGUCUUUAAGAUAAUUGUCGUUCAUGCACAUAUAUAAUGAACAAGAAAGAUAAGGAUUACUAUAAUAAACAAGAAUUCAUAAAAUGAAACCACUGAAAUAAGCCAUGCAAUAUCAACACUGUAGACACCACUUGCUAGUACUGUCUACGAAACCAAAUGCAAUUCCUCCACAAUCCACCCCUCCAUGGGGAUCCAAACACAGUGAGGCAAAAGGUGCAAGCAUCACAGAAUGUCUGAGAACCUCUUUCUAAAAUAACCCCUUCACCCUACACCCAUUUUAGGAUUCUAGAACAACAUAAUCAAAUCCAAAGGAACCCCACUGAGCUCAACUGUCUUUCUAAAAUAACCCCUUCAUCCCACACCCGUUUAGGAUUCUAGACAAACAUAAUGAAAUUCAAAGGAUCCCACUGAGCUCAACUAAAGAGCAAAAUGCAAUGCCUUGACAACUGAAAAACCAAUGUGUGAGCAUUAGUGAAUCACACUUGAGACCGAUUUGCUAUUUCCAACAAAUACAUAUCCCGUUAAAUGAGGAAAUGAGCAUUCAUCAGCAAGUUCCUGAAACUGAACAGUGCUGAAAUCAACAAAUUCCAAGCUGAAAAUGUCACUAUUACAUAAAUCCAGAGCUAUGUUCUCUAUGUUCAAAUCAAGGAAAGCCAAUAGAGGGACAAAUGGUAAAAAUAAGAAAAUAAAAUAAAAUAAAUGACAGAAGGGAAGCGAUCGCAGUGGGAUUCGAACCCACGACCUUUAGAUCCGGAGUCUAACGCGAUAUCCACUCCGCUAUGCGAUCGCGUGUGUUCAUAUCAUUUACUCUCUAAAAUUUAACUGGCACUUGAAAAUCACGAAAACCCACAGAAGAAAAACCGCAACAAAUUCUUACUCCAACCACAAAUAACACAGAAAAUAUAAUGCAAUUCAAUUCGAAAGGAGCAGAAAAAAAACUUACAGAAGGAGAUGACAGACAUGAUGAGAAACGUAAUAUGAAGAAGAAUAUAUAUUUAAAAAUUAUUAUUUCUUAACCAACUAUCUAAUAAACCAAUUAUAACUCUAAACAAUACUAAUAGUCUUUCGUGCUCCCUACAAUCACAGAAUUUAUCAUGAGAUUCUAGAUGUUGAUUACAUAAAUCAUUACCAUUUUCUACUAAGGCGGCUCUUAAUAACUUUACUUCUCUUCUAUUAGUUAAAUCAAGACAACGUAAAUAA
This 1324-nucleotide transfer RNA is filed under the name Hevea brasiliensis (rubber tree). The record is from RNAcentral. Lineage: Eukaryota; Viridiplantae; Streptophyta; Magnoliopsida; Malpighiales; Euphorbiaceae.